RNAcentral lists this ribosomal RNA (258 nucleotides) under uncultured Pseudomonas sp. Its description in RNAcentral is "partial 16S ribosomal RNA". It matches the Rfam family "Bacterial small subunit ribosomal RNA", at positions 1126 to 1382 of the family's 1533-position model. Lineage: Bacteria; Pseudomonadati; Pseudomonadota; Gammaproteobacteria; Pseudomonadales; Pseudomonadaceae. The record is from RNAcentral.
UUAUGGUGGGCACUCUAAGGAGACUGCCGGUGACAAACCGGAGGAAGGUGGGGAUGACGUCAAGUCAUCAUGGCCCUUACGGCCUGGGCUACACACGUGCUACAAUGGUCGGUACAAAGGGUUGCCAAGCCGCGAGGUGGAGCUAAUCCCAUAAAAACCGAUCGUAGUCCGGAUCGCAGUCUGCAACUCGACUGCGUGAAGUCGGAAUCGCUAGUAAUCGUGAAUCAGAAUGUCACGGUGAAUACGUUCCCGGGCCUU